UACGAAGGGUGCAAGCGUUAAUCGGAAUUACUGGGCGUAAAGCGUGCGUAGGCGGUUUCUUAAGUCUGCUGUGAAAGCCCUGGGCUCAACCUGGGAAUGGCGGUGGAUACUGAGAAGCUGGAGUACGGUAGAGGAAGGUGGAAUUCCCGGUGUAGCGGUGAAAUGCGUAGAUAUCGAGAAGAACACCGGUGGCGAAGGCGGCCAUCUGGACGGUGACUGACGCUGAGACGCGAAAGCGUGGGGAGCAAACAGG
RNAcentral lists this ribosomal RNA (253 nucleotides) under uncultured bacterium. Its description in RNAcentral is "partial 16S ribosomal RNA". It matches the Rfam family "Bacterial small subunit ribosomal RNA", at positions 524 to 776 of the family's 1533-position model. The record is from RNAcentral.